This 1077-nucleotide ribosomal RNA is filed under the name uncultured bacterium. RNAcentral's name for it is "bacterial SSU rRNA". It matches the Rfam family "Bacterial small subunit ribosomal RNA", at positions 12 to 1080 of the family's 1533-position model. The record is from RNAcentral.
UUGGAUCCUGGCUCAGAUUGAACGCUGGCGGCAGGCCUAACACAUGCAAGUCGAGCGGCAGCGGGAAAGUAGCUUGCUACUUUUGCCGGCGAGCGGCGGACGGGUGAGUAAUGCCUGGGAAAUUGCCCAGUCGAGGGGGAUAACAGUUGGAAACGACUGCUAAUACCGCAUACGCCCUACGGGGGAAAGCAGGGGACCUUCGGGCCUUGCGCGAUUGGAUAUGCCCAGGUGGGAUUAGCUAGUUGGUGAGGUAAUGGCUCACCAAGGCGACGAUCCCUAGCUGGUCUGAGAGGAUGAUCAGCCACACUGGAACUGAGACACGGUCCAGACUCCUACGGGAGGCAGCAGUGGGGAAUAUUGCACAAUAGGGGAAACCCUGAUGCAGCCAUGCCGCGUGUGUGAAGAAGGCCUUCGGGUUGUAAAGCACUUUCAGCGAGGAGGAAAGGUCAGUAGCUAAUAUCUGCUGGCUGUGACGUUACUCGCAGAAGAAGCACCGGCUAACUCCGUGCCAGCAGCCGCGGUAAUACGGAGGGUGCAAGCGUUGAUCGGAAUUACUGGGCGUAAAGCGCACGCAGGCGGUUGGAUAAGUUAGAUGUGAAAGCCCCGGGCUCAACCUGGGAAUUGCAUUUAAAACUGUCCAGCUAGAGUCUUGUAGAGGGGGGUAGAAUUCCAGGUGUAGCGGUGAAAUGCGUAGAGAUCUGGAGGAAUACCGGUGGCGAAGGCGGCCCCCUGGACAAAGACUGACGCUCAGGUGCGAAAGCGUGGGGAGCAAACAGAGAGUAGAUACCCUGGUAGUCCACGCCGUAAACGACUCUGGAGGAGGCUGUGUCCUGAGACGUGCUUCCCGAGCUAACGCGUUAAAUCGACCGCCUGGGGAGUACGGCCGCAAGGUAAAACUCAAAUGAAUUGACGGGGGCCCGCACAAGCGGUGGAGCAUGUGGUUUAAUUCGAUGCAACGCGAAGAACCUUACCUGGCCUUGACAUGUCUGGAAUCCUGUAGAGAUACGGGAGUGCCUUCGGGAAUCAGAACACAGGUGCUGCAUGGCUGUCGUCAGCUCGUGUCGUGAGAUGUUGGGU